AGAGUUUGAUUAUGGCUCAGGGUGAACGCUGGCGGCGUGCUUGACACAUGCAAGUCGAACGGUAUGUGGCAACACAUAGAGUGGCGAACGGGUGAGUAACACGUGGGAACGUACCCUACGCAGGGGGAUAACUGACCGAAAGGACAGCUAAUACCGCAUAAGACCGAGAGGAGAAAGGUGCAACAGCAUCGGCAGAGGAGCGGCCCGCGGACCAUCAGCUAGUUGGUGGGGUAAGAGCCUACCAAGGCAACGACGGAUAGCCGGCGUGAGAGCGUGGCCGGCCACAAGGACACUGAGAUACGGGUCCUACUCCUACGGGAGGCAGCAGUGCAGAAUUUUAGAUAAUGGAGGCAACUCUGAUCUAGCGACGCCGCGUGCAGGAAGAAGGUCUUCGGAUUGUAAACUGCUGUGGUAAGGGAAAAAUGCCAUGUAGAGUGGAAAGCUACAUGGAGGGAUGGUACUUUACUAGAAAGCCCCGGCUAACUACGUGCCAGCAGCCGCGGUAAUACGUAGGGGGCGAGCGUUACCCGGAAUCACUGGGCGUAAAGGGAGCGUAGGUGGCCUGACAUGUCGACUGUGAAAACCCGGAGCUCAACUCCGGACUUGCAGUUGAAACCGCCAGGCUUGAGGACGGUAGAGGAAGACGGAACUGCCAGUGUAGGGGUAAAAUCCUUAGAUAUUGGCAGGAACGCCGGUGACGAAGGUGGUUUUCUGGGCCGGUUCUGACACUGAUGCUCGAAAGCCAGGGGAGCGAACGGGAUUAGAUACCCUGGUAGUC
This 778-nucleotide ribosomal RNA is filed under the name Kosmotoga sp. enrichment culture. RNAcentral describes it as "bacterial SSU rRNA". It matches the Rfam family "Bacterial small subunit ribosomal RNA", at positions 8 to 795 of the family's 1533-position model. Lineage: Bacteria; Thermotogati; Thermotogota; Thermotogae; Kosmotogales; Kosmotogaceae. The record is from RNAcentral.